RNAcentral lists this ribosomal RNA (505 nucleotides) under uncultured bacterium. RNAcentral's name for it is "partial 16S ribosomal RNA". It matches the Rfam family "Bacterial small subunit ribosomal RNA", at positions 28 to 507 of the family's 1533-position model. The record is from RNAcentral.
GACGAACGCUGGCGGCGUGCCUAAUACAUGCAAGUAGAACGCACAGUUUAUACCGUAGCUUGCUACACCAUAGACUGUGAGUUGCGAACGGGUGAGUAACGCGUAGGUAACCUGCCUGGUAGCGGGGGAUAACUAUUGGAAACGAUAGCUAAUACCGCAUAAUAUUGAUUAUUGCAUGAUAAUUGAUUGAAAGAUGCUAUUGCAUCACUACCAGAUGGACCUGCGUUGUAUUAGCUAGUAGGUGAGGUAACGGCUCACCUAGGCGACGAUACAUAGCCGACCUGAGAGGGUGAUCGGCCACACUGAGACUGAGACACGGCCCAGACUCCUACGGGAGGCAGCAGUAGGGAAUCUUCGGCAAUGGACGAAAGUCUGACCGAGCAACGCCGCGUGAGUGAAGAAGGUUUUCGGAUCGUAAAGCUCUGUUGUAAGAGAAGAACGGGUGUGAGAGUGGAAAGUUCACACUGUGACGGUAUCUUACCAGAAAGGGACGGCUAACUACGUG